GCCUUCGUUUUGUAAUCGUCAGCACACUCGACACGUAACCGAGAGGUCCGUGGUUCGAUUCCCGGCGAAGGCG
Molecule: non-coding RNA, 73 nt
Organism: Stegodyphus mimosarum
Lineage: Eukaryota; Metazoa; Arthropoda; Arachnida; Araneae; Eresidae
Source: Rfam